Hypanus sabinus (Atlantic stingray) is the source of this 195-nucleotide long non-coding RNA. RefSeq lists it as uncharacterized. The transcript is spliced from 3 exons. Lineage: Eukaryota; Metazoa; Chordata; Chondrichthyes; Myliobatiformes; Dasyatidae. The record is from RefSeq and is a predicted model, not a curated record.
AAGCUUACAGAUGGAUAUGACAAAGUAAAAGGAUUAGCAACUUACAGAUGAAAAUGGCAAAUGAAAAAAUGGGCUGGAAAGAUCAGCCCUUCAAGUCCUCCUUAAUAAGGGAGCCAAUCCAAUGGGAAGAAGAUACACUCAGUGGCCACUUUAUUAACUACCUCCUGUUCCUGCAUAAGAUGCUCUUCUGCACGC